AACGCGAAGAACCUUACCUGGCCUUGACAUGUCUGGAAUCCUGCAGAGAUGCGGGAGGUGCUUCGGGAAUCAGCACACAGGUGCUGCAUGGCUGUCGUCAGCUCGUGUCGUGAGAUGUUGGGUUAAGUCCCGCAACGAGCGCAACCCUUUUCCUUUUUUGCCAGCGAGUAAUGGUGGGAACUCAAGGGAGACUGCCGGUGAUAAACCGGAGGAAGGUGGGGAUGACGUCAAGUCAUCAUGCCCUUACGCCAGGGCUACACACGUGCUACAAUGGUGGGUACAGAGGGCUGCAAGCUAGCGAUAGUGAGCGAAUCUCAAAAAGCCCGUCGUAGUCCGGAUUGGAGUCUGCAACUCGCUCCAUGAAGUCGGAAUCGCU
Molecule: ribosomal RNA, 376 nt
Filed under: Aeromonas sp.
Lineage: Bacteria; Pseudomonadati; Pseudomonadota; Gammaproteobacteria; Aeromonadales; Aeromonadaceae
Description: bacterial SSU rRNA
Rfam family: Bacterial small subunit ribosomal RNA
Source: RNAcentral